GUCUUGAUGGUGAAAUGGUAGACACGCGAGACUCAAAAUCUUGUGCUAAAUAGCGUGGAGGUUCGAGUCCUCUUCAAGGCA
RNAcentral lists this transfer RNA (81 nucleotides) under Neottia listeroides. RNAcentral describes it as "tRNA-Leu". It matches the Rfam family "tRNA". From Rfam's summary of the family: Transfer RNA (tRNA) molecules are approximately 80 nucleotides in length. Lineage: Eukaryota; Viridiplantae; Streptophyta; Magnoliopsida; Asparagales; Orchidaceae. RNAcentral also lists the same sequence under 1 other name. The record is from RNAcentral.